GAUGAAGAACGUAGCGAAAUGGGAUAAGUAGUGUGAAUUGCAGAAUUCAGUGAAUCAUCGAAUCUUUGAACGCACAUUGCGCCCCUUGGUAUUCCAUGGGGCAUGCCUGUUCGAGCGUCAUCUACACCCUCAAGCUCUGCUUGGUGUUGGGCGUCUGUCCCGCCUCUGCGCGCGGACUCGCCCCAAAUUCAUUGGCAGCGGUCCUUGCCUCCUCUCGCGCAGCACAUUGCGCUUCUCGAGGUGCGCGGCCCGCGUCCACGAAGCAACAUUACCGUCUUUGACCUCGGAUCAGGGAGGGAUACCCGCUGAACUUAAGCAUAUCAAUAAGCGGAGGA
This 335-nucleotide unclassified non-coding RNA is filed under the name soil metagenome. RNAcentral describes it as "partial contains 5.8S ribosomal RNA, internal transcribed spacer 2, and large subunit ribosomal RNA". The stretch from base 1 to 120 matches the Rfam family "5.8S ribosomal RNA", at positions 35 to 154 of the family's 154-position model. The record is from RNAcentral.